GCACAGGUGAGGUGGAGGUGGACAGGUGAGGUGCACAUGCUGGACACGGAUGGACAGGUGAGGUGGACAGGUGGGAUGGGUGGACAGGUGAGGUGGAGAUGGAGAUGGACAGGUGGGAUGGACAGGUGAGGUGGAGAUGGACAGGUGGGCGUGGAUGGAUGAACAGGUGGGAUGGACAGGUGGGAUGGACAGGUGGGAUGGACAGGUGGGAUGGACAGGUGGGAUGGACAGGUGGGAUGGACAGGUGGGAUGGACAGGUGGGAUGGACAGGUGGGAUGGAGAUGGAUGGAUGGACAGGUGGACAGGUGAACAGGUGGGAUGGAGACAGCCAGGUGUGCCAGCCAGG
This is a long non-coding RNA of Haemorhous mexicanus (house finch), 346 nucleotides long. RefSeq lists it as uncharacterized. Lineage: Eukaryota; Metazoa; Chordata; Aves; Passeriformes; Fringillidae. The transcript has 4 exons. The record is from RefSeq and is a predicted model, not a curated record.